RNAcentral lists this ribosomal RNA (484 nucleotides) under uncultured bacterium. Its description in RNAcentral is "partial 16S ribosomal RNA". It matches the Rfam family "Bacterial small subunit ribosomal RNA", at positions 899 to 1397 of the family's 1533-position model. The record is from RNAcentral.
ACUCAAAUGAAUUGACGGGGGCCCGCACAAGCAGCGGAGCGUGUGGUUUAAUUCGAGGCUACACGAAGAACCUUACCUGGUCUUGACAUGGACGCGAACGAAGCUGAAAGGCGGAGGUCCGCAAGGCGCGUUCACAGGUGCUGCAUGGCUGUCGUCAGCUCGUGCCGUGAGGUGUUAGGUUAAGUCCUGUAACGAGCGCAACCCCCGGAGCCAGUUACAUGUGUCUGGCUCGACUGCCCGUGACAAGCGGGAGGAAGGUGGGGACGACGUCAAGUCAGCAUGGCCUUUAUGACCAGGGCUACACACACGCUACAAUGGCCGAUACAAUGGGUCGCCAAGCCGCAAGGCGGAGCCAAUCCAGUCAAAGUCGGUCACAGUUCGGAUUGUGGGCUGCAACCCGCCCACAUGAAGUUGGAGUUGCUAGUAACCGCGCAUCAGCUAUGGUGCGGUGAAUACGUUCCCGGGCCUUGCACACACCGCCCGU